AUGAUGAAGUAUGAGGCUAUGACUGACUCUCACUUCGAGAAUCUAUACAAGUACAGAGAGACAUGGGUACCCUGCUACUUCAAGCACCAAUUCUUCUCUUUCUUGCAGUCAACUCAACGCAGCGAGGGGUUCAAUGCUGUCCUUAAGCGAUAUGUGAACCCACACAAGUCCAUUUUGAACUUUGUGAAGCAAUAUCAGAAAAUCCAAACACACAUACUAGUCCGGGAGGGUUCAAAAGACUAUAGGACAGCAGAUUUACAGACUGAAAUGUGGUCAUCUUACCCAGUAGAGAAGCAGGAGUACGGAUCAUAUACUAGGGACUUGUACGAGAAGUUUUGUGAUGAGUUUCAGUUGACUACAAGGUACAAUGUGCGACCACAUGGUGAAAACUUGUAUGAGGUUUACCCCAAUCAAGAGUGGGUUGCCAAAUAUGGUUCUAGGGGCUAUUUUGUCACGGUCGAAGCUAGUGCUGGAGACUACAGGUGUGACUGCUACAAGAUUGAGAGGGACGGCAUGCUUUGCUGCCAUAUCUUGAAAGUUUUCAACCAACUUGGUGUUGAUGAAAUCCCAGCGCAGUACAUACUUAGAAGAUGGACAUCUAUGGCAAUUCCCAACGCACCCCCUGCUGUCGAAGACCAACCUGAUGAGAUGCCACCACAGUCGAAGAAGGAACUCAGGCAUGCAAAUUUGAUGAUGGAUUUUGGUAGUCUUGCCCGGGUUGCUAGUGCAUCAGAUGCUGCAACGAAUAUUGUAAAAAAACAUAUGCGUGGUGCGCGUCAUGAAAUCAAAAAUCUCAACAUGUCAAAGAAGAAGAAAACGGCAGCACCCUCUGGUGGUUCUGCGCCACCAUCAGCUGGUGGUUCUGCGCCACAACUGAGUAACUCUCAGGCAACUGGUGGCCCUGCGGUGCGUCCUGAAGGUCCUGCGGUGCAUCCUGGAUCUAGACAACAGCAACAUACUUCUGCGCCACUGCUGAGUAACACUCAGGCAACUAUUGACCCGGCGGUGCGUCCUGGCGAACUUGCACAAACCUCUUCUGGACCUAGGCAGCAACGAUCUAGUUCUGCACCGCGGAGAAAAAAGGCACCAAAACUAGCUGGCAACUCUAUGAGUGAGGAUGGACACCAACAAACAGCAUUCAGGGCUGCAGUGAUGCACAGUGGGACUGUACCACUACCCAGGAGCCCUCCUGCACAAAGCUGCUGGCCUGUACAACAACUGUCGGGAUAUGUGCCACUAAACAGUGGAGCAGCACCGCACCUUUCAAGGGGCUCCACAAUGACAAGGCCUGUGCAAGCGCUAAGAGGAGCUGUGCCACAACUUUUGAUGCAUACGGCACUAGUAAGAGGUCCUGCACGACCUCCUAUGGGUCCUAGACCAGCAAUUUGGCCUGCACCACAAACUAGGGGGGCUAUACAACCACCGCGGGGGCCUGCCGCGGCAAACACAACCUAUGUGGCUAUUCCUGGACUGGCACCAUUGCCUGCAUCAUCAGCAACAGUGGAUGGCAGGUAUGGACAGCACCCAGGUUCUUCAACUACACAAGAAGAAAAUGCCAAUGCAAUUCCAUCUCCUAUUGUGCAAGCUCCUGGUGGACAUGCGCACCAGCCGCUCACUACGGCAUCUCUACAUGAACCUGUUGCGACCGCACAAGCUACUACGAUGGUUGAACCACAGUUUGGAAGACCUAGUACCACACUUGGCCCUAUAAUUCCUAGAGACCCUCCAAAAUCAACAACAAAAGGGAGGGCAAAGUCAAAAAGAAUUCAAUCAACACUUGAGCUGCAUCCGAAGAGAAAGAACAAGUGCAGCUAUUGUGGUUCUGUUAACCACAAUGGUGGAAGCUGCCCGACCAGAUUGGUGUAA
RNAcentral lists this ribosomal RNA (1866 nucleotides) under Triticum aestivum (bread wheat). RNAcentral describes it as "partial small subunit ribosomal RNA". The record is from RNAcentral. Lineage: Eukaryota; Viridiplantae; Streptophyta; Magnoliopsida; Poales; Poaceae.